RNAcentral lists this long non-coding RNA (202 nucleotides) under Elaeis guineensis (African oil palm). RNAcentral describes it as "long non-coding RNA (EGUI_LNC029114)". Lineage: Eukaryota; Viridiplantae; Streptophyta; Magnoliopsida; Arecales; Arecaceae. The record is from RNAcentral.
UAUACAUCCAUACCACAACUGAAUGGAUAUAGCCUGCUCACUGUGAAAUCUGAUAUAAUUUAUGGAAGAGGCAGUGCGUGGUUUGUCUUCAACAAUCCUUGAGGGAAAAGGAGAAGAGGAAGAGAGGAUAAAACAUCCCGCACAAAUCCAUGCUCUCUGUGAUUUGAUGUCAUGAACCAGUGAACGAUCAAUAUUGGAAGAA